GACGGAGGGGGCUAGCGUUGUUCGGAAUUACUGGGCGUAAAGGGCGCGUAGGCGGUUAUGUGUGUCAGAUGUGAAAUCCCAAGGCUCAACCUUGGAACUGCAUUUGAAACUGCAUAACUAGAGUAAGUGAGAGGCGGACGGAAUUCCGAGUGUAGCAGUGAAAUGCGUAGAUAUUCGGAGGAACAUCGGUGGCGAAGGCGGUUCGCUGGCACUUAACUGACGCUGAGGCGCGAAAGCGUGGGGAGCAAACAGG
This 253-nucleotide ribosomal RNA is filed under the name uncultured bacterium. RNAcentral's name for it is "partial 16S ribosomal RNA". It matches the Rfam family "Bacterial small subunit ribosomal RNA", at positions 524 to 776 of the family's 1533-position model. The record is from RNAcentral.